UGGGGAAUUUUGGACAAUGGGCGCAAGCCUGAUCCAGCCAUGCCGCGUGCGGGAAGAAGGCCUUCGGGUUGUAAACCGCUUUUGUCAGGGAAGAAAUCUUCUGAGUUAAUACCUCGGGAGGAUGACGGUACCUGAAGAAUAAGCACCGGCUAACUACGUGCCAGCAGCCGCGGUAAUACGUAGGGUGCAAGCGUUAAUCGGAAUUACUGGGCGUAAAGCGUGCGCAGGCGGUUUUGUAAGACAGAGGUGAAAUCCCCGGGCUCAACCUGGGAACUGCCUUUGUGACUGCAAGGCUUGAGUGCGGCAGAGGGGGAUGGAAUUCCGCGUGUAGCAGUGAAAUGCGUAGAUAUGCGGAGGAACACCGAUGGCGAAGGCAAUCCCCUGGGCCUGCACUGACGCUCAUGCACGAAAGCGUGGGGAGCAAACAGGAUUAGAUACCCUGGUAGUCCACGCCCUAAACGAUGUCAACUGGUUGUUGGGAAGGUUCCUUCUCAGUAACGUAGCUAACGCGUGAAGUUGACC
RNAcentral lists this ribosomal RNA (522 nucleotides) under uncultured bacterium. RNAcentral describes it as "partial 16S ribosomal RNA". It matches the Rfam family "Bacterial small subunit ribosomal RNA", at positions 355 to 870 of the family's 1533-position model. The record is from RNAcentral.